This 22-nucleotide unclassified non-coding RNA is filed under the name Mus musculus (house mouse). Its description in RNAcentral is "oocyte_clustered_small_RNA12843". Lineage: Eukaryota; Metazoa; Chordata; Mammalia; Rodentia; Muridae. The record is from RNAcentral.
AAAGCUUCAGAUCCAGGUCGAU